CCUACGGGAGGCAGCAGUGAGGAAUAUUGGUCAAUGGGCGGAAGCCUGAACCAGCCAAGUAGCGUGCAGGAUGACGGCCCUACGGGUUGUAAACUGCUUUUAUACGGGAAUAACGCGCCUUCCGUGUAGGGCUUUGCAUGUACCGUAUGAAUAAGGACCGGCUAAUUCCGUGCCCGCAGCCGCGGUAAUACGGAAGGUCCGGGCGUUAUCCGGCUUUAUUGGGUUUAAAGGGAGAGUAGGCGGGAUGUCAAGCGAGCUGGGAAAGGUCCGGGCUAAACCCGGGCCUUGCCGCGAGGACUGGCGGGCUUGAGUGCGGGGACAGGAGGCGGAAUGCGUGGUGUAGCGGUGAAAUGCUUAGAUAUGACACAGAACACCGAUUGCGAAGGCAGCCU
This 392-nucleotide ribosomal RNA is filed under the name uncultured bacterium. RNAcentral's name for it is "partial 16S ribosomal RNA". It matches the Rfam family "Bacterial small subunit ribosomal RNA", at positions 338 to 727 of the family's 1533-position model. The record is from RNAcentral.